GAGCGGAAUGUUUUGCAUUGGAUUGAGACAACGUACAAACCUUAUCGAUAAACAAUUGGAGGGCAAGUCUGGUGCCAGCAGCCGCGGUAAUUCCAGCUCCAAUAGCGUAUAUUAACGUUGUUGCAGUUAAAAAGCUCGUAGUUGAAAUGAAGGGUAGUUGUGUAAUGAAUACAUUCGUGUAUUUUGUUAUUCAACUACCCUCCUUCUAAAUUCGAUAUAUGAGUAUUAAUUUACUUGUAUAUGGUUUUAGACAUUUACUGUGAGAAAAUUAGAGUGUUCAAAGCAGGCAUUUGCUUGAAUAUAUUAGCAUGGAAUAAUCAUGUAUGAUUUUCAUGAUGUAUUUGAUUGGUUUGGUUCAUGAGAAUAAGAUUAAAAGGGACAGUUGGGGGUAUUCAUAUUCAAUAGUCAGAGGUGAAAUUCUCGGAUUUAUGGAAGAUGAACAAGUGCGAAAGCAUUUACCAAGGAUGUUUUCAUUAAUCAAGAACGAAAGUUAGGGGAUCGAAGAGGAUUAGAUACCCCGUUAAUUCUUUAACAAAA
This 537-nucleotide ribosomal RNA is filed under the name Blastocystis sp. subtype 3. RNAcentral's name for it is "bacterial SSU rRNA". It matches the Rfam family "Eukaryotic small subunit ribosomal RNA", at positions 482 to 1034 of the family's 1831-position model. The record is from RNAcentral. Lineage: Eukaryota; Bigyra; Opalinata; Blastocystidae.